GUCAUUGUUCUGGACACUGGAGACAAAACAGGACAAAGACUCUGUUCUUAGGGAAUGUGAAAUCCAGUGAAAAAAAAGAUAAAGAAAGAAUUCCGCAGUGACCUGGCCAUCUGGUGGUGACGGGAUGGCCUGAGGGGGCCUUGGUGUCAGUGGCCCUGGUGCACUGCCUUUUCCAUUCACUCAGAGACUUAGAUAUAGUGUAUUAAGUCACUGAGAACAAGUGUUCUGCCAUGUACCGUCUACAGAUUAUUAAUUGUGGUGGAGGAAAAUAUACUUUUACAAUGGGAAGAUCUGGCAGAUGUCUUCUAACCAAUGAAUGUGACAUGAUCAAGGUGAUAUCAACUGACAUGAUCUUCCUGAUGAGAGGCAAUGGGAAAUACACAGAUGGAUAGGCUUCUCACCAAAGAAUGUCUCACCCUGAAUCUAAUCAAGAGAAAAUAAGCAAACAAAUUCAGAUUAUAGGGUAUUAUGUUAGGCAGGGCAAUGAGCCAUUCAAAACUAUUAAUAUGAAAUUCAAAAAGUAAAUACAUAAAUACAUAAAAGCAAGGUGAGGGGAAUUAAAAGAGACUAAAGAGACUUUAUUUUGGGGUGUUUGGGUACUGGAUCCAAACAUGAAGGAAAGUACACAGGAAAGGAUAGGAGGAAGGAAGAAAAUAUCUACAAAGGGCAUUUAGGAGACAAAUGGGGAAUUUUGAAUAAAGUCAUGUUAUUAGAGAAUAUUUUUGGUAUUAAAUUCCUUGAAUCUGACUGUUAAUGAAAGAGCAUGAAUGCCUUUGUUUUUUGCUGUUAGCUGGAGAUACCAGCUAAAGUAUCUUAGAUGUGAAAUCCCACGAAAUCUGCAACUUUCAAAUGAUUCCAGAAGAAAAUGAACAUAUGGCACGAAAGACAGAGAGGGAAACAAACACGGCAAAAUGCUUGGUGAAUCAUGAUGAAGCUUCUUGUGAAAGUCAAGUCCAGAAUGUGCUCAGUAAUGAAAGUAAAUAGGGCACAGAACAUGAGAACAUGAACAGGCCUGGAGAAGAGAUGUCCCAAGUCCAUCAUUGCGCAAAGGAGGAAACUGAAGCCCAGAGAGGAAGACAAGUGACCCAGGAUGACAGCUACUGAGUGGAGCAGAGUCAUACCUGGCCCUGAAUCUUCAGACUUCCAGCCUGAGCCUCCCAAGCCUCAUCUUUUGUUGUUUGGCAAAAAGGGCUGCAUAGCAAUGCAAAGUCAGGUGGAACGGAGCACAGGCCUAAGCUUGGCAAAUGUCCCUGAAAACCUGUUGCGAUGAUUAAAAGUUAAUAUGUGUUGGGCGC
RNAcentral lists this long non-coding RNA (1295 nucleotides) under Heterocephalus glaber (naked mole-rat). RNAcentral's name for it is "lncRNA (ENSHGLG00000049593.1)". The record is from RNAcentral. Lineage: Eukaryota; Metazoa; Chordata; Mammalia; Rodentia; Bathyergidae.